AKCCAUAUACAUGCAAGUCGAACSAGCGUUCCGYGURAAUGACGUGCUUGCACUGAUUUUAACAAUGAAGCGAKUGGCGAACUGGUGAGUAACACGUGGGAAAUCUGCCCAGAAGCAGGGGAUAACACUUGGAAACAGGUGCUAAUACCGUAUAACAACAAAAUCCGCAUGGAUUUUGUUUGAAAGGUGGCUUCGGCUAUCACUUCUGGAUGAUCCCGCGGCGUAUUAGUUAGUUGGUGAGGUAAAGGCCCACCAAGACGAUGAUACGUAGCCGACCUGAGAGGGUAAUCGGCCACAUUGGGACUGAGACACGGCCCAAACUCCUACGGGAGGCAGCAGUAGGGAAUCUUCCACAAUGGACGAAAGUCUGAUGGAGCAAUGCCGCGUGAGUGAAGAAGGGUUUCGGCUCGUAAAACUCUGUUGUUAAAGAAGAACACCUUUGAGAGUAACUGUUCAAGGGUUGACGGUAUUUAACCAGAAAGCCACGGCUAACUACGUGCCAGCAGCCGCGGUAAUACGUAGGUGGCAAGCGUUGUCCGGAUUUAUUGGGCGUAAAGCGAGCGCAGGCGGUUUUUUAAGUCUGAUGUGAAAGCCUUCGGCUUAACCGGAGAAGUGCAUCGGAAACUGGGAGACUUGAGUGCAGAAGAGGACAGUGGAACUCCAUGUGUAGCGGUGGAAUGCGUAGAUAUAUGGAAGAACACCAGUGGCGAAGGCGGCUGUCUAGUCUGUAACUGACGCUGAGGCUCGAAAGCAUGGGUAGCGAACAGGAUUAGAUACCCUGGUAGUCCAUGCCGUAAACGAUGAGUGCUAAGUGUUGGAGGGUUUCCGCCCUUUCAGUGCUGCAGCUAACGCAUUAAGCACUCCGCCUGGGGAGUACGACCGCAAGGUUGAAACUCAAAGGAAUUGACGGGGGCCCGCACAAGCGGUGGAGCAUGUGGUUUAAUUCGAAGCUACGCGAAGAACCUUUACCAGUCUUGACAUCUUCUGCCAAUCUUAGAGAUAGACGUUCCCUUUCGGGGACAGAUGACAAGUGAUGCAUGGAUUGUCGUCAGCUCGUGUCGUGARGAUGGUUGGUUUAGUUCCCGCACCGAGCGCACCGUAAUAAUCAGUGCAGCAUUUCAGUUGGGGGCAAUACAYG
Molecule: ribosomal RNA, 1138 nt
Filed under: Levilactobacillus brevis ATCC 14869 = DSM 20054
Lineage: Bacteria; Bacillati; Bacillota; Bacilli; Lactobacillales; Lactobacillaceae
Description: bacterial SSU rRNA
Source: RNAcentral